UUAAAGGCCCUUCUUAGGGCCACCCACUGACUCUGGUAAAGAGCUG
Molecule: non-coding RNA, 46 nt
Organism: Bos taurus (domestic cattle)
Lineage: Eukaryota; Metazoa; Chordata; Mammalia; Artiodactyla; Bovidae
Source: Rfam